AUGAUCGACGUUCUCCUUACUGAUUGAGAUGAUGAAGCGAGGUUAGGUGA
RNAcentral lists this small nucleolar RNA (50 nucleotides) under Pyrococcus furiosus DSM 3638. RNAcentral's name for it is "PFUsR62". The record is from RNAcentral. Lineage: Archaea; Methanobacteriati; Methanobacteriota; Thermococci; Thermococcales; Thermococcaceae.